GUGAUUUGCAAAUUUUCGAUUUUUUCGUUUGGAUAUAUUUCGCUCAAGAAAAGCUAUAUUUCGCUGAAGAAAAGCUAUAUUUCGCUGAAGAAAAGCUAUAUUUCGAUUGGAUAUGUGACUCUAAGUCCUGCUAAAGGCUUAUUGAUCUCAGGUAUGUAUUAUUCUUUAUAUCAUAUAAUUAUAACGUCCAUCGACCCUAUAUUUAUAUUUCAUUUUAUCUUGUGGCUGUACUAGCCUGAACAUGUGGCUGCUAAAAUUUGAAUUUGUGCGCGCGAGAUUGUAUAUAUUGAAAUUGUUUCAUUUCAAUGCCGUCAAAUAAAACCAACAAUUCAAAUUUCGAAUAAGCACAUUAUAUUAAAUACUGGGUUGCACUUGUUUGACAAAACUCGAGAAUUAAGCAUCUUUGAACCCGCACAGUAUAAAUAGAAACAAUAUGUGAAAAUAUGUGAAUAUGAAUAUGAAUUAUAAAUAUGGGUUUGCUACAAUCCUAUUUAAGCCUCUCCCCUGGAUUUCCAAGGUCUUUCAAAUCAUUGAGUGCCAAGCUCUCUCCCCUUGGCAAGUAAAAUCACCUAGGCAUUAACUCUGCCCAGGGUCACUGGCCGGGUUUAAUAGACUGAGUAAAAUUAGUGGUGUUUACACUACAAACCUUGGCCUAGCCUUGGACAGGCACUAUUUUUUUGAGACAGGCUCACUUUGGCCAAGUUGUCCGCUGGUUGUCCGCUAAUCUCUCACUGCGGACACACAUUGCCAUGAAAAUGAGGCCCCACGGCCAGGGCCGAAAGUGUUUACAUUUCCACAAGCCUCUGAGGCUUAGACCAGGUCUGUUACAAGUAGUGAGCCCAGAUUUCCUGGCCUAGGUCAGUACAAGGCUAGGCCAUUUCCACAAGCCUAGGCCAAGGCUGGUAGUGUAAACACGACUAUUGAUUGCAUCAUGGCGCAUUACGACUAGGUGGUUAGUGUUUCCCACAAAUUUAUAUGGUAAAAAAGUAUAAACUUUUGCUAGCUUGAGCUUGAAGGAUUUCAAAGCUAAACCCUUCUAGAGUUUCCCCUGUAUAUAUGCGCCUGUUUAUAUGAUAAUGGCAUGACUGGACAGUAGGUUUUAAUCCACGAUGCUGUGUUUAAUAUAGACAGAAUACACCCCACCUGGCAGGGACGAUAAAGUACUUAGGCGUAAAAAACCCCCCUGUGGUUCCGGUUUCAUAUCAUGAAAAAAUUAGGGUCGGUAGGUCGGAAAUUAAAUUUUUUUUUAAAUAUUUUUUUCGUGGUUUUGGCGGGUUUUUUGCUGGGCGAUUUGCAGUAGAGUCCCAACAUCAAUGUUAACUAGAGAUGCGUGUUUCCUAUGGACGAAUUUAGGAAAUUUGGUUCAAUAAUUAGUGUGACAACAGACGCCAUUUAGGCACACUGUAUGAGCAGCCUGCAACCACCUGGAGAAAAUAGGGUCGCAUGGUCAAUCACAUUGAAAAAAUAAUAGGGUCGGCAGAAAAAAAUAGGGUUGGUCGGGAACCGGAACCACAGGGUUUUUUUUACGCCUUAUAUGAGAGUUUCUCGUCCCCAAGCCAACGGCGCGGAGCGCCGUUCCGGGCGUAAGCCCGGGGCGAGGGUACUAAUUCCCCCCAGCUAUUUACACCCGGGGAAAGGAAAGCACUGGCCAAAUUGCCGCGAUAAAAUCCGAGCCCUGGCUUGUGAUGUUACUCUGAGUGUAUAUCCACACCAGGCAAGCUUGAAAAAUAUGCCUGGCCAUGGUGGGAAUCGAACCUGCAACCUUUGGAAUACUAACUAGCCCAAUGCUCUGCCUACUGACGUACUGAGUUAUGUGGUCAGAUCGGUUCAAAUAUGUGAAAUUUCGGAACAGAAUCUAGUUCCUUCGAUAUCAAUGUAAUCGAAGGAACUAGAAAAAUCAUUACUGAUUAUUAGAUUACAUUGAUAUCGAAGGAACUAGAUUCUGUUCUGAAAUAUCCCAUAUUCGAACCGAUCUGACCGCGUAGCUCAGUUGGCAGAGCAUUGGGCUAGUAUUCCAAAAGUCGCAGGUUCUAUUCCCACCGUGGUCAGGCAUAUUUUUUUAAUUAAUUAAGCUUGCCCGGUGUGGAUAAUUAUACACUCAGAGUAACAUCACAAGCAUCAUAUUCCUUAGUACAUUACACCAACACAGAAAAAUCAUUACUGGCUACAGUAUAUCUACAGGUCCUUAAACAGACUUUGUCAGGCUAUUAUAAUUUACAGGCUUACAGCACUCUUAUGUACUAAACCAGCACUAUCAAAUUUAUUGUUUAUGAAGGAUUUCAGCGAGCUCAAAAAUAGAUCAGAAGGUUAGGCAGAUGGCUGCUGUGCUGUAGUCUGUGGUUCGAACCCGAGUUGGGACAGGUUUUUGUUCACCUUAACUAAACAUGUCUUUUUUUCUGAUUAGUUUUAUUUUUUAUGGGUAGAGGUUAGGAUUAGUUUUGUUUGAAUUUGACUUUAACUAUAAAUACAACCUGUGUGGAGACUAAGAAUGAGAGUGCCAUAAAUAUAGCCUGGCAAAGUUUGUUUACGGGCCUGAAGAUAUACAGUAGCCACUUUGUAAUAAUUAUUUAUAAAAGCAAUUUAAUUAUAAUUAAAUGGAUCAAAUGAUUGGAUAAUUACUGCAGACUUUAUAAAAACAGUCUAAGCUUACAACGGCAUAUUAAUUACAAGAGUAUGCACCAGCAUACUUGAGAGUAAAAUGGUCUGGCAUUAGACAGAGUACAAUAAUCUGGCAUUUAAAAGACAGUAAAAUAAGGAAGUAGGGCACACAAGGGUUAGGGUACAAUACAACUUAAUGGGUUCACUAGACACAUGGCCAUAUUAACCCAACAAAACAGGAAUACCCUGUACUUCUCAAGAAGUUUGGCAGGUCAUUAAGAUGGGGAGUUAACUGGAUAUUAUACUAGGCCGGACAUGGCAUAAGCUGCAUUGUGCCACAACUUUAUUCUUUUACUGUGUCUGAUGGGUCGUUCCAGAAAAGAUCCACUCUCCCCUGGGCACAGAGGAAAUUUCAACCGUCCGGAGGGGAGGCGAGGGGAGAAAAAAUUGUUUCUGAAGUGUAUAAGGACAUUCAAAGGGGAUAGGUGGUUAACUUCCAAUUUCCUUCAUGGGGGAGGUUAGGUAUCGAUGUUCUCUGGAAUGACCCAAUGUCAGAUGAUUUUACUUGUCAGUGAUAUCACUCAGUGGGUUACUGAAACAAGUAGCACUCCUCUCCAAUAUAACUAAGGUUAAAUAAUAUAAUCUUAUGAAUCUAUUCAAUGUUUUCUGGAACGAGCCAAUAGCAUAUUAAAUCACAAAUGCCAACAACCAGUUACCAGUAGCAGAUACCUCGCAAAAUAUUGGGGGUGCUGUUGAGAUGUCUGUUAACAAAUCCUAUCUAGUGCAUAUUUAUCUUGUUAACCCAUUCACUGGCAAUAUGCUCUACUUUAUAUUACUCUGUCUAAUGGCAAGAAAUUUUACAGUUUUACUUGUUGAGAAGAUAGCCUUGCAGCAGUUUCCAAUUUGCCAUGUAUCGCCCACACAGAGAAUACAUUACUGGGGACGAGUCAGGGUAAAAGCCAUAUGAACCAAGGGUUAUCAAUUAUGAUAAUACUAGAAACAACGUCAACCAAAGGUUGGGUUGUGCUACUAACUACAUUUAUUUAGUUUCCGUCUUCCCAUUCGUAAUAAGGUGCAAAGUUUAUAGAUUGGAUAGGAGGAAAUUGCUCAUAUUGCUGCAUGUGAACUGUGAACUUGUGCUAUAUACUGUAAUGUUAACUGACUGUGGAGUUCCAGUACCGGUACAUGAAAUACAUUAUGUACAGCUAAUGAUAGUCUUGUAUUUCCUUUCUUGUAGCUCAUGUGACUAAACGUUUUGCGGGAGCAACAGCCUCAUCAGUGAAAGCUGCCAUGGCCCAAAAGUGCAAAGACAAAAGAAAUGCUGAUACGAAAAGAAGAAAAAUUGCAAAAGACAUUUGAACUGCUAAGUUUUUUUCCUUAUUAUAAAUUAUUUUGUAUGGUAGCUAAACAUUUGUAGAAAUUAACUGUAUAAAUAAAUUAUUUAAACUUCCU
Paramuricea clavata is the source of this 4050-nucleotide non-coding RNA. The record is from the annotation of a GenBank genome assembly. Lineage: Eukaryota; Metazoa; Cnidaria; Anthozoa; Malacalcyonacea; Plexauridae.